AUUGAACGCUGGCGGCAUGCUUUACACAUGCAAGUCGAACGGCAGCACGGGGGCAACCCUGGUGGCGAGUGGCGAACGGGUGAGUAACACAUCGGAACGUGCCCAGUUGUGGGGGAUAACCCAUCGAAGGGUGGGCUAAUACCGCAUGAGCUGGCAACAGGAAAGCGGGGGACCCGCAAGGGCCUUGUGCGAUUGGAGCGGCCGAUGUCCGAUUAGCUAGUUGGUGGGGUAAAGGCCUACCAAGGCUUCGAUCGGUAGCUGGUCUGAGAGGAUGAUCAGCCACACUGGGACUGAGACACGGCCAGACUCCUACGGGAGGCAGCAGUGGGGAAUUUUGGACAAUGGGGGCAACCCUGAUCCAGCCAUGCCGCGUGAGUGAAGAAGGCCUGG
Molecule: ribosomal RNA, 390 nt
Filed under: uncultured bacterium
Lineage: Bacteria
Description: bacterial SSU rRNA
Rfam family: Bacterial small subunit ribosomal RNA
Source: RNAcentral